UCUAAUACCGGAUAUUCCUUUUUUGUCGCAUGGCGAAUUUGGGAAAGAUUUAUCGCUAGAGGAUGGACUCGCGGCCUAUCAGCUUGUUGGUGAGGUAAUGGCUCACCAAGGCGAUGACGGGUAGCCGGCCUGAGAGGGCGACCGGCCACACUGGGACUGAGACACGGCCCAGACUCCUACGGGAGGCAGCAGUGGGGAAUAUUGCACAAUGGGGGAAACCCUGAUGCAGCGACGCCGCGUGGAGGAUGACGGCCUUCGGGUUGUAAACUCCUUUCAGUAGGGAAGAAGCGAAAGUGACGGUACCUACAGAAGAAGCACCGGCUAACUACGUGCCAGCAGCCGCGGUAAUACGUAGGGUGCAAGCGUUAUCCGGAAUUAUUGGGCGUAAAGAGCUCGUAGGCGGUCUGUCGCGUCUGACGUGAAAAUCCAUGGCUUAACUGUGGACCUGCGUUGGGUACGGGUGGACUUGAAUCUUGUAGGGGAAACUGGAAUUCCUGGUGUAGCGGUGGAAUGCGCAGAUAU
RNAcentral lists this ribosomal RNA (522 nucleotides) under uncultured bacterium. RNAcentral's name for it is "bacterial SSU rRNA". It matches the Rfam family "Bacterial small subunit ribosomal RNA", at positions 162 to 697 of the family's 1533-position model. The record is from RNAcentral.